CACUGCACUAGUGCCCCGCCCGCCCACCAAACACACCACUGCAGGUAAGACACUGCACUAGUGCCCCGCCCGCCCACCAAACACACCACUGCAGGUAAGACACUGCACUAGUGCCCCGCCCGCCCACCAAACACACCACUGCAGGUAAGACACUGCACUAGUGCCCCGCCCGCCCACCAAACACACCACUGCAGGUAAGACACUGCACUAGUGCCCCGCCCGCCCACCAAACACACCACUGCAGGUAAGACACUGCACUAGUGCCCCGCCCGCCCACCAAACACACCACUGCAGGUAAGACACUGCACUAGUGCCCCGCCCGCCCACCAAACACACCACUGCAGGUAAGACACUGCACUAGUGCCCCGCCCGCCCACCAAACACACCACUGCAGGUAAGACACUGCACUAGUGCCCCGCCCGCCCACCAAACACACCACUGCAGGUAAGACACUGCACUAGUGCCCCGCCCGCCCACCAAACACACCACUGCAGGUAAGACACCGCACUAGUGCCCCGCCCUGCCCGCCCACCAAACACACCACUGCAGGUAAGACACCGCACUAGUGCCCCGCCCUGCCCGCCCACCAAACACACCACUGCAGGCAAGACACCGCACUAGUGCCCCGCCCUGCCCGCCCACCAAACACACCACUGCAGGCAAGACACCGCACUAGUGCCCCGCCCUGCCCGCCCACCAAACACACCACUGCAGGUAAGACACUGCACUAGUGCCCCGCCCUGCCCGCCCACCAAACACACCACUGCAGGUAAGACACCGCACUAGUGCCCCGCCCGCCCACCAAACACACCACUGCAGGUUAGACACCGCACUAGUGCCCCGCCCACCAAACACACCACUGCACGGUACUGGUUGAGGGGUCAUAGCAGCUGGGCCCCUCCCCAUACUGCAGAAGCUGCCUGGCUUCACGUGUCACGUGGAGAUGUGCGGCUGAGCUCCUCAGCGUGCCCCCCAGUGACAGCUGUGUGUUUCCUUCUUGUGUAUUUUCAUUCAUAUACUGCCGGUCUGCAUUAUAGAUCCUCAGUGAUGUCAGUGGAUCUGGCAGCUUGCCACCACUCUCCCGUGUGGAUGGGUAUGACUCAGCAGCUGGCUGUGGUUUGGGGGGGGGGGGGGAUGUCUGCCCUCACUGCAGCAUAAUGUGUGACGGAGCUGCCCCGUGUCGGCUGCAUUGAGUUCUGUCCUCAGUGCAUUUCCAGCUCUGGAUCACUGUAGUGUGCUACAUGAAAGAAUUAGCAAGGGCCGGAACGUCCCUUAAAUCCCUCCAUUUCGUGGAUGGAUGAAUGGUAUGGUUAUGUAUAAUAUUGCUGAGACAUAUUGCCACCUCACUUGGACGUUUUGUUGUCCUUCUCCAUACUCAGUCCCAUCAGGAACAAAGCCAGCGCAGAUCAUCUCCUAACUAGCUGCUUCUCUCCAGUAAGGGACAUUUGUCCAGUGAGACCUGAACUUGUUCACAGUGUGAUGUGAGGCGUGCCCACCCCUUCCUCAUGCCCGUCUCUCCCCCCGCCUCUACA
This is a long non-coding RNA of Brienomyrus brachyistius, 1532 nucleotides long. RefSeq lists it as uncharacterized. The record is from RefSeq and is a predicted model, not a curated record. Lineage: Eukaryota; Metazoa; Chordata; Actinopteri; Osteoglossiformes; Mormyridae. The transcript is spliced from 3 exons.